AGCGUACACGGUGGAUGCCCUGGCAGUCAGAGGCGAUGAAGGACGUGCUAAUCUGCGAUAAGCGCCGGUAAGGUGAUAUGAACCGUUAUAACCGGCGAUUUCCGAAUGGGGAAACCCAGUGUGAUUCGUCACACUAUCAUUAACUGAAUCCAUAGGUUAAUGAGGCGAACCGGGGGAACUGAAACAUCUAAGUACCCCGAGGAAAAGAAAUCAACCGAGAUUCCCCCAGUAGCGGCGAGCGAACGGGGAGGAGCCCAGAGCCUGAAUCAGCAUGUGUGUUAGUGGAAGCGUCUGGAAAGGCGCGCGAUACAGGGUGACAGCCCCGUACACAAAAGCGCAUGUGCUGUGAGCUCGAUGAGUAGGGCGGGACACGUGGUAUCCUGUCUGAAUAUGGGGGGACCAUCCUCCAAGGCUAAAUACUCCUGACUGACCGAUAGUGAACCAGUACCGUGAGGGAAAGGCGAAAAGAACCCCGGCGAGGGGAGUGAAAAAGAACCUGAAACCGUGUACGUACAAGCAGUGGGAGCCCCACCACUAAGCCAGUGGUGAACUCCACAUCCGCAUCCUUUGCUGAGGAUACGGUUAACGGAGCGAAAGCGACGUUCAACCGCAAAACAAGCAGAGGGGGCUUAGUGGUGGGGUGACUGCGUACCUUUUGUAUAAUGGGUCAGCGACUUAUAUUCUGUAGCAAGGUUAACCGAAUAGGGGAGCCGGAGGGAAACCGAGUCUUAAUUGGGCGUUAAGUUGCAGGGUAUAGACCCGAAACCCGGUGAUCUAGCCAUGGGCAGGUUGAAGGUUGGGUAACACUAACUGGAGGACCGAACCGACUAAUGUUGAAAAAUUAGCGGAUGACCUGUGGCUGGGGGUGAAAGGCCAAUCAAACCGGGAGAUAGCUGGUUCUCCCCGAAAGCUAUUUAGGUAGCGCCUCGUGAAUUCAUCUCCGGGGGUAGAGCACUGUUUCGGCUAGGGGGCCAUCCCGGCUUACCAACCCGAUGCAAACUGCGAAUACCGGAGAAUGUUAUCACGGGAGACACACGGCGGGUGCUAACGUCCGUCGUGAAGAGGGAAACAACCCAGACCGCCAGCUAAGGUCCCAAAGUCAUGGUUAAGUGGGAAACGAUGUGGGAAGGCCCAGACAGCCAGGAUGUUGGCUUAGAAGCAGCCAUCAUUUAAAGAAAGCGUAAUAGCUCACUGGUCGAGUCGGCCUGCGCGGAAGAUGUAACGGGGCUAAACCAUGCACCGAAGCUGCGGCAGCGAACGUAUCACUUAAAGCGAUUCAGCGGGUUACGAUUGACGGAGCGAAGCGACGUCAAAGCGUAUACAAAGUCGAGUCGGUUUAAGGAUACGUUCGUUGGGUAGGGGAGCGUUCUGUAAGCCCGUGAAGGUGGCCUGUGAGGGUUGCUGGAGGUAUCAGAAGUGCGAAUGCUGACAUAAGUAACGAUAAAGCGGGUGAAAAGCCCGCUCGCCGGAAGACCAAGGGUUCCUGUCCAACGUUAAUCGGGGCAGGGUGAGUCGACCCCUAAGGCGAGGCCGAAAGGCGUAGUCGAUGGGAAACGGGUUAAUAUUCCCGUACUUGGUGUUACUGCGAAGGGGGGACGGAGAAGGCUAUGUUGGCCGGGCGACGGUUGUCCCGGUUUAAGCGUGUAGGUGUGUGUUCCAGGUAAAUCCGGUUCACUUUAACACUGAGGCGUGAUGACGAGGCACUACGGUGCUGAAGCAACAAAUGCCCUGCUUCCAGGAAAAGCCUCUAAGCAUCAGGUAACAUCAAAUCGUACCCCAAACCGACACAGGUGGUCAGGUAGAGAAUACCAAGGCGCUUGAGAGAACUCGGGUGAAGGAACUAGGCAAAAUGGUGCCGUAACUUCGGGAGAAGGCACGCUGACACGUAGGUGAAGUGAUUUACUCACGGAGCUGAAGUCAGUCGAAGAUACCAGCUGGCUGCAACUGUUUAUUAAAAACACAGCACUGUGCAAACACGAAAGUGGACGUAUACGGUGUGACGCCUGCCCGGUGCCGGAAGGUUAAUUGAUGGGGUCAGCGCAAGCGAAGCUCCUGAUCGAAGCCCCGGUAAACGGCGGCCGUAACUAUAACGGUCCUAAGGUAGCGAAAUUCCUUGUCGGGUAAGUUCCGACCUGCACGAAUGGCGUAAUGAUGGCCAGGCUGUCUCCACCCGAGACUCAGUGAAAUUGAACUCGCUGUGAAGAUGCAGUGUACCCGCGGCAAGACGGAAAGACCCCGUGAACCUUUACUAUAGCUUGACACUGAACAUUGAGCCUUGAUGUGUAGGAUAGGUGGGAGGCUUUGAAGUGUGGACGCCAGUCUGCAUGGAGCCGACCUUGAAAUACCACCCUUUAAUGUUUGAUGUUCUAACGUGGACCCGUAAUCCGGGUUGCGGACAGUGUCUGGUGGGUAGUUUGACUGGGGCGGUCUCCUCCUAAAGAGUAACGGAGGAGCACGAAGGUUGGCUAAUCCUGGUCGGACAUCAGGAGGUUAGUGCAAUGGCAUAAGCCAGCUUGACUGCGAGCGUGACGGCGCGAGCAGGUGCGAAAGCAGGUCAUAGUGAUCCGGUGGUUCUGAAUGGAAGGGCCAUCGCUCAACGGAUAAAAGGUACUCCGGGGAUAACAGGCUGAUACCGCCCAAGAGUUCAUAUCGACGGCGGUGUUUGGCACCUCGAUGUCGGCUCAUCACAUCCUGGGGCUGAAGUAGGUCCCAAGGGUAUGGCUGUUCGCCAUUUAAAGUGGUACGCGAGCUGGGUUUAGAACGUCGUGAGACAGUUCGGUCCCUAUCUGCCGUGGGCGCUGGAGAACUGAGGGGGGCUGCUCCUAGUACGAGAGGACCGGAGUGGACGCAUCACUGGUGUUCGGGUUGUCAUGCCAAUGGCACUGCCCGGUAGCUAAAUGCGGAAGAGAUAAGUGCUGAAAGCAUCUAAGCACGAAACUUGCCCCGAGAUGAGUUCU
Molecule: ribosomal RNA, 2957 nt
Filed under: Salmonella enterica subsp. enterica serovar Typhimurium
Lineage: Bacteria; Pseudomonadati; Pseudomonadota; Gammaproteobacteria; Enterobacterales; Enterobacteriaceae
Description: bacterial LSU rRNA
Rfam family: Bacterial large subunit ribosomal RNA
Source: RNAcentral